RNAcentral lists this small nuclear RNA (24 nucleotides) under Arabidopsis thaliana (thale cress). Its description in RNAcentral is "snRNA_03817". Lineage: Eukaryota; Viridiplantae; Streptophyta; Magnoliopsida; Brassicales; Brassicaceae. The record is from RNAcentral.
UGAUCAUAAAACACAUUCAUGAUA